Molecule: long non-coding RNA, 509 nt
Filed under: Panax ginseng (ginseng)
Lineage: Eukaryota; Viridiplantae; Streptophyta; Magnoliopsida; Apiales; Araliaceae
Description: long non-coding RNA (PGIN_LNC018760)
Source: RNAcentral
CGGGAUUCGAUAACCCGAUAUUCUUCCUCCUCAUGGACAAAAUCGGAUGCUUAAGCCAAUAAGGUUGCACCUCUGUCUACCCUCUUAUUUUACUAUACAUAUAGAUCUGGGGUAGUGCUAACUAAUCCUUCUUGUUCUAACUCUUCUCUUUCUCUCUGCUUUGACUAUGGGGAUACCAUGCCCAUUACGGGAUACGAUGUGUCAAAGAGCGGACCAUCUUCGGAGGAAGGAUUUGCUGCUAAGACUGGAUAUGCUGAAUCUGAGCUGAGAGAUGCUAGGUCUCGUCUAAGCCCUUCUGUGGAUUCUUCCUUCAAACCUUCCACAAGCAGGGGAUUCUGUUGCACUAAGACUAGCAGGUUUUAUUACCCUAAGAACGGUUAUCCCGCAAAAGAACCUAAAAAGGCUGGGGCAGGCAGGAAAACCAUAGUUUCCGGGAGUUCUAGUAAUCCCCUAUUUGAUCCAGUUUAAGAGGGGGCGUAGCGCUUACUUACUCGAAAGAGUAAGGACUA